CAUGAAUCAGACACUUAAAACGAAGUCCUAAUAUACUCAGUUGGGGACAGGAAACAGCAGUAUUUGCAUCAAGUAUUAUAAGUAGAUGAUUUUAUCUCCGUUUUGUAUAAUUCCUACUGUCUAGAAGAACUUUUCUACAAUAUAUUUUCCAACAGCUUUAUGUCUUCUUCUUGGUUUUUGACAUGCAAAGAUUUUGCAUCAAGAGCCCAGUUGUCUUAGGUAGAUAUUUAUAAAUUAAUGGGAAAGAGAAUUGAUGUUCUACCAUUUGGAAUAAUCUAAAAAAGAAAGUAAAUAAAUGCUACAAGACCCCAAAACCCCAAAUUUCCUUUAAAAUAAAACUUGGAGAAUUUGCACGUUUUAGAAUUGUAUUAUGAAUUAUUGAAAAGUGGUCAGGGUAUCAAAAGAUAUAGUAAAUGAAAUGUUGUAAUCUUUUGUUUGUUUUGCAUAUUAUUCAAUAAGAUUGUGAAGGAGAUAGAUGGGGAGAAAAUGAUUCAUUUUCAAAAGUUAAAAUAUAAAAGAUUAAAUAGUUAUUUGAAUUAUUGAUAGAGAGGCAUAUAGAUAAGAUAUUUUAAAAAGGAGCUGCAAUGAGAAUGGGGUAUUCUAACAGCAGUUGGUCUUAGUUUUUUUUUUUUAAUCUGAAUCUACAUAGUAUCUAUAAA
RNAcentral lists this long non-coding RNA (659 nucleotides) under Bos taurus (domestic cattle). RNAcentral's name for it is "long non-coding RNA NONBTAT023340". Lineage: Eukaryota; Metazoa; Chordata; Mammalia; Artiodactyla; Bovidae. The record is from RNAcentral.